CUUGGUUAAUGUUGACUUAACACAAUUGAUAACACAUUAAUUUAAAGCUGUAACUGACCAUGUGGCAUUGUUUUCUAGUUUUAACCCAGACCCGACAGUCCGCCACACUUUCUGGGGUCUAGUCGUGGGGUCAGCCUUGAACUGGGUGGGGUCGUACGGUGCCAGUCAAUCCAGUAUCCAACGCUACAGUGCUCUUAGAAGUCUGAAAGAUGCAAAAAAAGCCAUCCUGGUGAACUGUGUGGGUGUUUUUCUCCUGUUGACUGGGGCGAGUCUGAUGGGUGUGUCUGCCUUUGCCUACUACACACAGUUAGGUUGUGACCCUCUGACCAGUGGUCAGAUAAAGAACAAGAACCAGCUAAUUCCGCAUUUCGUCAUGGACAUCCUCAACAUACCGGGAAUGCCUGGUCUAUUUAUAGCAUGCCUGUUUAGCGGGACAUUGAGUUCCCUGUCAUCAAACCUAAGUUCAUUAAGUGCAAUCACAUGGGAGGAUAUUUUGAAACCUUUUUUCAAACUUCGUUCGGAGCAGACAAAGGCAAGAAUCACACGCUG
Molecule: long non-coding RNA, 549 nt
Organism: Pecten maximus
Lineage: Eukaryota; Metazoa; Mollusca; Bivalvia; Pectinida; Pectinidae
Exons: 3
Source: RefSeq, a predicted model, not a curated record